Molecule: long non-coding RNA, 382 nt
Organism: Ornithorhynchus anatinus (platypus)
Lineage: Eukaryota; Metazoa; Chordata; Mammalia; Monotremata; Ornithorhynchidae
Exons: 2
Source: RefSeq, a predicted model, not a curated record
ACCCGGAAGGGAGGGAGACACCGAGGGUAGAGGUUCUGUUGCUCAAGGGGCGUGAGGGGCUGUCUGGCUUCAGUUUCUAGCUUGGGGGGAGGAGUCACCUCUCUCUGAGCCCCGGGAAUAACAGGAAUGCCCAUGUCAGAUCUACCCAGCCUGCGCACUGCAAGGCACGAUGUUCGCCCCGCCUAAUCUUCAAAGCGGCCCAUGACCGCCCGACACCCCCUCAACAGCGACGCCGCUGUCACUCCUCGCCUCGAGGGCCAUCAUGCCAUGGGGAUUUAUCGCUUCUCUGGGAGCACUGCUCUCACUUUUCAAAUGUUGAAAUGUUUAUUUAUGUUUAUGUUUACGUGUUUAUUUAAUUUGCACUGCCAUAACUAUCACUGUA